Molecule: small nucleolar RNA, 110 nt
Filed under: Mustela putorius furo (domestic ferret)
Lineage: Eukaryota; Metazoa; Chordata; Mammalia; Carnivora; Mustelidae
Description: Small nucleolar RNA SNORA70 (ENSMPUG00000022573.1)
Rfam family: Small nucleolar RNA SNORA70
About the family: snoRNA U70 seems to be exclusive to mammals and is a member of the H/ACA class of snoRNA which contain H (ANANNA) and ACA box motifs. H/ACA box snoRNAs are involved in the conversion of uridines to pseudouridines (5-ribosyluracil) a constituent of structural RNAs (transfer, ribosomal, small nuclear, and small nucleolar).
Source: Rfam by way of RNAcentral
AAGCAUAUAUAUGGGGGCCCAGUGUGCCAUGGCUGCAAACAGUAGCCUCCUCGGUAGUGUAUGCAGCCUGUUGAUUGUAUGGGUUGCCCUAAGGGACCUUGGAGACAGCC